UUUGAUCCUGGCUCAGGAUGAACGCUGGCGGCGUGCUUAACACAUGCAAGUCGAACGGGGGUUACUUCGUAGCGAUCUUCGGAUCAAAGCGAUAUAACUCGAGUGGCGGACGGGUGAGUAACACGUGAGUAACCUGCCUUUUGCUGGGGAAUAACUGUGGGAAACCAUGGCUAAUACCGCAUGUUGUGCAUGACAGGCAUCUGUUGUGUAUGAAAGGAGAAAUCCGGCAGAAGAUGGGCUCGCGUCCGAUUAGGUAGUUGGUGGGGUAACGGCCUACCAAGCCCGCGAUCGGUAGCCGGACUGAGAGGUCGAACGGCCACAUUGGGACUGAGACACGGCCCAGACUCCUACGGGAGGCAGCAGUGGGGAAUAUUGGGCAAUGGGCGAAAGCCUGACCCAGCGACGCCGCGUGAAGGACGAAGGCCUUCGGGUUGUAAACUUCUUUGGGGAGGGACGAAAAUGACGGUACCUCCAGAACAAGCCACGGCUAACUACGUGCCAGCAGCCGCGGUAAUACGUAGGUGGCAAGCGUUAUCCGGAUUUACUGGGUGUAAAGGGCGCGCAGGCGGCCCCAAAAGUCAGAUGUGAAAGAUCAAGGCUUAACUUUGACAUGUCAUCUGAAACUUUGGGACUUGAGUAUCAGAGGGGAAAGCGGAAUUCCUGGUGGAGCGGUAAAAUGCGCAGAGAUCAGGAGGAACACCGGUGGCGAAGGCGGCUUUCUGGCUGACAACUGACGCUGAGGCUCGAAAGCGUGGGGAGCAAACAGAAUUAGAUACCCUGGUAGUCUACGCCGUAAACGAUGAGUGCUAAGUGUUGGAGGGUUUCCGCCCUUCAGUGCUGCAGCUAACGCAUUAAGCACUCCGCCUGGGGAGUACGGCCGCAAGGCUGAAACUCAAAGGAAUUGACGGGGGCCCGCACAAGCGGUGGAGCAUGUGGUUUAAUUCGAAGCAACGCGAAGAACCUUACCAGGUCUUGACAUCCUUUGACCACUCUAGAGAUAGAGCUUUCCCUUCGGGGACAAAGUGACAGGUGGUGCAUGGUUGUCGUCAGCUCGUGUCGUGAGAUGUUGGGUUAAGUCCCGCAACGAGCGCAACCCUUAUUGUUAGUUGCCAUCAUUUAGUUGGGCACUCUAGCGAGACUGCCGGUGACAAACCGGAGGAAGGUGGGGAUGACGUCAAAUCAUCAUGCCCCUUAUGACCUGGGCUACACACGUGCUACAAUGGGAAGUACAACGAGUCGCAAAGUCGCGAGGCUAAGCUAAUCUCUUAAAACUUCUCUCAGUUCGGAUUGUAGGCUGCAACUCGCCUACAUGAAGCCGGAAUCGCUAGUAACCGCGGAUCAGCACGCCGCGGUGAAUACGUUCCCGGGCCUUGCACUCACCGCCCGUCA
This 1389-nucleotide ribosomal RNA is filed under the name uncultured bacterium. RNAcentral describes it as "partial 16S ribosomal RNA". It matches the Rfam family "Bacterial small subunit ribosomal RNA". The record is from RNAcentral.